This 253-nucleotide ribosomal RNA is filed under the name uncultured bacterium. Its description in RNAcentral is "partial 16S ribosomal RNA". It matches the Rfam family "Bacterial small subunit ribosomal RNA", at positions 524 to 776 of the family's 1533-position model. The record is from RNAcentral.
UACGUAGGGGGCUAGCGUUGUCCGGAAUCAUUGGGCGUAAAGCGCGUGUAGGCGGCAGCGCAAGUCGGGCGUGAAAUCCCACGGCUCAACCGUGGAAGUGCACUCGAAACUGCGCAGCUAGAGUCCUGGAGAGGAAGGUGGAAUGCUUGGUGUAGAGGUGAAAUUCGUAGAUAUCAAGCGGAACACCGGUGGCGAAGGCGGCCUUCUGGACAGUGACUGACGCUGAGACGCGAAAGCGUGGGGAGCAAACAGG